This 440-nucleotide ribosomal RNA is filed under the name uncultured bacterium. Its description in RNAcentral is "partial 16S ribosomal RNA". It matches the Rfam family "Bacterial small subunit ribosomal RNA", at positions 338 to 795 of the family's 1533-position model. The record is from RNAcentral.
CCUACGGUGGGCAGCAGUGGGGAAUAUUGCACAAUGGGGGAAACCCUGAUGCAGCGACGCCGCGUGAGUGAAGAAGUAAUUCGUUAUGUAAAGCUCUAUCAGCCGGGACGAAACAGACGGUACCUGAGUACGAAGCACCGGCUAACUACGUGCCAGCAGCCGCGGUAAUACGUAGGGGGCCAGCGUUAUCCGGAUUUACUGGGUGUAAAGGGCGCGUAGACGGCGAAGAAAGUCUGAAGUGAAAGCCCGCGGCUUAACCGCGGAACUGCUUUUGAAACUUGUUGGCUGGAGUACCGGAGAGGUAAGCGGAAUUCCUAGUGUAGCGGUGAAAUGCGUAGAUAUUAGGAGGAAUACCAGUGGCGAAGGCGGCUUACUGGACGGUAACUGACGUUGAGGCGCGAAAGCGUGGGGAGCAAACAGGAUUAGAUACCCGAGUAGUC